Molecule: ribosomal RNA, 429 nt
Filed under: Chloroflexota bacterium
Lineage: Bacteria; Bacillati; Chloroflexota
Description: Chloroflexi bacterium partial 16S ribosomal RNA
Rfam family: Bacterial small subunit ribosomal RNA
Source: RNAcentral
UGGGGAAUAUUGCACAAUGGGCGCAAGCCUGAUGCAGCCAUGCCGCGUGUAUGAAGAAGGCCUUCGGGUUGUAAAGUACUUUCAGCGGGGAGGAAGGGAGUAAAGUUAAUACCUUUGCUCAUUGACGUUACCCGCAGAAGAAGCACCGGCUAACUCCGUGCCAGCAGCCGCGGUAAUACGGAGGGUGCAAGCGUUAAUCGGAAUUACUGGGCGUAAAGCGCACGCAGGCGGUUUGUUAAGUCAGAUGUGAAAUCCCCGGGCUCAACCUGGGAACUGCAUCUGAUACUGGCAAGCUUGAGUCUCGUAGAGGGGGGUAGAAUUCCAGGGGGAGCGGUGAAAUGCGUAGAGAUCUGGAGGAAUACCGGUGGCGAAGGCGGCCCCCUGGACGAAGACUGACGCUCAGGUGCGAAAGCGUGGGGAGCAAACAGG